Molecule: long non-coding RNA, 2230 nt
Organism: Manis pentadactyla (Chinese pangolin)
Lineage: Eukaryota; Metazoa; Chordata; Mammalia; Pholidota; Manidae
Exons: 2
Source: RefSeq, a predicted model, not a curated record
GGGACGGACACAUGGGCCGGCCACCCCAGAUGGGCUCCGCACCUCAGGCUUGGGGCCCCUCCUGGUGCGGCACGGGCAGUCUGGCGGCAUCCAGCGCUGGAGCUUCCUGAGGCCUGCUUGGGGACAGCAGUUCUGAGUGACCAGCUCCGAGCUCUGAGGACCCACUCCCUCGGCCCUGGGCUGAGUCUCUGAACACCUCCUCCCUCCUGCGCCUGAUUUCCCGCUGCCUCUCUGCUCUCCCAGCUGCGUUGUUUGCAUCCAGGACAUCCAUUCCCGCCCCUCGGCUUGAAUCCCAUCCCUGAGCAGCAGCCAGGCCUGCAGGCUUGGGGGCAGGCGCGGUGGGGCGGGCCUUCUCCUUCUGCCUACCGGUCAGAGAUGUGGCUCCCCAAACUUGGGGAAAAAAAGCCCGGUCUUCUCCUUCCUGGUGUCUGAUUGCUGUCCCCCUGCCCCCAAGCCAAACACUUGAAAUCAUCCUCAUUUAAUUGGGCUAAUUUAGGAGGAAUGGAAGCAGUAAUUCACUCGUGUUGUUGAGUCUCUUUGAGAGACGUAUUAAUAUUCUGAUUCCAAGAGGGAUCUGUGCAAAUUCCUCAGUUACAGAUGACACAAUUAAAUUUCUAAAUUUUUCCCCUAAAUUAGUACAGAUGGUUAAAAAUACCCUUGCAUUUUAAUUAAUCUUCUGAACAAUAGUCCUAUGAAUACAAAUGGAUCAUUACCCCUUCCGCAGACGGGCCUCGGGCCUCCGGGGAGUGAGGGAGGCCAAGGGCACAGCUGUGGUCGUGCCCCAGCCGGUCACAGGGCCUCGUGGAGAGUGGUGGGUGCUGGGCCUUUGACUGUGACUCUCGUCUUCCAGGCUGGGCUGAGAGAGCCACCCUUUGCCCAGGCCCCAGGCUGUCCUAGGAUUCCUUUUGGUCGGGCAAAGGAGCUUUGAGAAGAUGUUUCAAAGGUGUUUGCUCUGCUGUGAGGCCCCCCUAACCUCUCAGGCUGCUCUCCCCUGGGUGUCCUCUGCAUGUGUGCAUGUUCACGUGUGCGCAUGAAUGUUUUCCAGAGAGCUUUGUUAGGUGCCAUAACCAAGACAUGACCAUCUGCUAUUGUCUAUUUGUGAGUCUGUCCACUCUGCAGACUGCAGGCAGCUCUGGACCUUUCUUUAUGUCCCCAGAACCCAACAGGGGACUGGAUUUGGGUGCUUGUUGAAAUUUAAAGCCAAAUUUCCUGGACUACAUCAAAAUAAAACACAUUUUGUGCAUCAUAGGACACUAUCAAUGGAGUAAAAGGACAACCCACAGAAAGAGAGUAUUUUGAAAUCACCUCUCUGAUAAAGGAUUAAUAUCUACAAUAUAUAAAGAACUCCCAUAACUCAACAACAGUAAAACCAAGCAAUCCAAUUCAAUAAAAGGCAAAGGACUUGAAUAGCCAUUUCUCCAAAGAAGAUAUAAGACUGGCCAACAAGCACAUGACAAGAUGCUCAACACCACUAAUCAUUAGGGAAAUGCAAAUCAAAGCUGCAGUGAGGUACCGCCACUUACCCACGAGGAUGGCUGCUCUCAGAAACAGAAAACAGGUGUUGGUGAGGGUGCGGAGAAACUGGGGCCUUGUGCAUGGCUGGUGCAGUUGCCACGGAAAACAGUAUGGCAGUUCCUCAGAAAGUUAAAAAUAGAAUCACUGUACGAUCCAGCAAUUCCACUUCUGGUGUACAUCCAAAAAGCUUGGAAGCAGGAACUUGAACAGGUACUUGUACACGUGUGUUCACAACAGCAUAGUUCACAAUAACCAGAAGGUGGAAGCAAGCUGACAGCCCAUUGACGGAUGAAUGGAUAAGUCACGUGUGGUCUAUCCAGACAAGGAAAUGUGAUUCACCCUUAGAAAGGAAGGACAUUUCAGUACCUGCUGCAGUGUGGCUGAGCCGUGGGGGCGUGACGCUCAGUGAAAUAAGCCAGACACAGAAGGGCAAAUUCUAUAUGAGUCCCACGCGCAGGAGGUCCCCAGAGGAGUCAGGUCCAUAGAGACACCUGGUGGACGGAAGGGGGCUGGGGCCGGGAAGGCAUGGGGAGCGAGUGUUCAGUGGGCACAGAGCUCCAGUUUGGGAAGAUGGGAGGUUCUGGAGACGACGGUGGGGCGGCUGCAGAACAAUGUGAAUGUGCCGAGUGCCCCUGAACUGUACACUUGAAAAUAAUUAUGAUGGUAAAUCUUAUGCAUGUUUUACCAUAAUUAAAAAAAGUCGAAUUCCCUUGGC